This 226-nucleotide non-coding RNA is filed under the name Pseudomonas sp. 9AZ. Lineage: Bacteria; Pseudomonadati; Pseudomonadota; Gammaproteobacteria; Pseudomonadales; Pseudomonadaceae. The record is from RNAcentral.
CCUUCGCGCCUUGUAGCAGGUGCCCCCAACGCAUUGCGUGUGCGGGGUGAAACAGGGAAGUCGGUGCGCUGUGCGUGUGAACGCCAGCAAUUCCGACGCUGCCCCCGCAACGGUAAGUGAGUCAAACGCCGCAAGAACCACUGUGCGUGAUGCAUGGGAAGGUGCGGUCGUGAGCCAUUCGGCUCGCUCACAAGCCCGGAGACCGGCCUGCUGCAGUCCACGGCAU